AAAGUCUGAGCUCUCCUGCUCACAGCCUCAGACCCGUCUGAGCAUGUUUGGAUGAAUGACUGGCCAAGCAGGCUGCCCAGAGUUCUCCUUGGAUCUCGCGUUCAAUCCUUUGCUGCACAGGAGACCAGAAAAAGGCUGUUUCUGCAGAAUCCUUCAGAAGGUCAGAGUUCACUUUUCUGGAGCAUCUCAGUGCAUACAUACCUCUUGGUCUGGCAGUCCCUGACUUGUUGUUAAGUUGAAGCCGGAGGGCCAGAGAUUUGAAGUCACCCUUGGCUACGUGGAGACAGAGAGUUCAAGGCUGACAGGUUUUAGAAGAUCCGUUUCAAACAAAAGGAAGUUUCACGAAAGUCCAGAGUUUGGACUUCAGAGCAGAGAAGACAAUAAUAGGCGGAUGUGAGUUUCCUGCAACACAGAAAGCCAGCCUUUGAGAGAUGGUGAACGUUGGUGGGGUCAGAGGGACAAGCUAGGUGGUGGUGUCUGCUCUCGUCAGGUCACGCAUAACAUAGAUGAGUGAAGGAGGCAGCAGGAAAGGAGUUGAUUGGUCAAUCCACAUGGACCAGGCGAGAGACUUCAACCGCACAACCCACCCUUGCCUCACUGAUUCCUAACACCACUCAUGGCCCCUAUUGGUGUCAGGACCAAACUCUCUGUCUGGACUCCCCGAAGUUCUCCUUGGACCAAAGCUCGUUUUUAGAAGAAUGAGAUGUGCGAGAGGAGGGUGCAGAUUGCAGAUAUACCAUGAGCAAGGCCUGGGAAGAGGAACUGAAAAUAGGGAACCCCGGGGGCCAAUCUGUAGCACCUGCUCAAGGUUUGUGUUCCUUCUAUGAUGCUGCUGCUAAUAAGACACGGGUCCCUGGACAAGUCACCAAACCCCGUCUGCUUUUCUACUUAUAAACAUUCCAAAGAGAGGCUGGAGUGAUGGCUCAGUGGUUAAGUGCACUGGCUGCUCUUUCAGAGGACACAACUUUGAUUCUCAGAACUCACACAUUGGCUCACAAAAGUCUGUAGCCCCAGUUCUAGCGAGCUACACCCACCCUUUUAGACUUUGUGGGCAGCAGGUACACAAGUGGUGCACACACAUACGUGUGAGCGAAGUAUCCAUAUACAUUUAAAAAAUUAAAAGGCAAAGUUUUGGAGAAAGUUGAAUGAACAAAUAAACACAGCUGGUCCUUCAUAGCCACAACUUCCACAAUCGUAGACUCAAGCAACUAUAGUUAAAAAAAUAUUUUUAUUGAUGUUUUUGGUGUCUAGUAACAUAAUCUUCUUGUCCCAGAACUUGGGAAGAGGAAACAGAAGGAUCAGAGUUCAAGGCCAUCCUAGCCCUACUAUAGAUGUAGGCCUGCCUAUAUGGAGCUGAGUUGGAGUGGUGCUUGCCUAACAUGCUUGAGGCCCUUAAUUUAACUCCCAGUGUUAUAUCAAGUAGUUGAGGUAAAACGUGACUAUAAUCUUAGCAUUUGACAGGUGGAGGCAGGAAGAUCUGAGGUUAAACAUCAUCCUUGAUAUUGAGUUUAUAAAGAGUUCAAGGUUAUCCUGGGUUAUAUACUCAAUUUUAAAUAAAUGAAUGAAUAAUUAAAUAAGUAAAUAAAACAUUGUAUCUGUA
Myodes glareolus (Bank vole) is the source of this 1600-nucleotide non-coding RNA. Lineage: Eukaryota; Metazoa; Chordata; Mammalia; Rodentia; Cricetidae. The record is from RefSeq and is a predicted model, not a curated record.